Molecule: long non-coding RNA, 4256 nt
Organism: Salmo trutta (river trout)
Lineage: Eukaryota; Metazoa; Chordata; Actinopteri; Salmoniformes; Salmonidae
Source: Ensembl
GGAAGUUAUUACUAGCUGGCGUCAAGUAGUUUUCCACUGAUAUUCUCAUCCAAACAAACAAUUAUUUCAGGCAGCUAGGAAAUUCGUUUUAAAUCUGUUUUACAUUUUCAUUUUUAACUUUAAUGACUUAUUUAAAUAACUCAUGUCUCAGACAAACUCUUGAGUCUUUUAGAGUGCGUGUUAUCCUAGCUUGUAAGCUAGCUAACGUUACACUAGCCAUUGUCUUGGGUUGGAAAGUGACUGCAGCUAAAUAGGUUGGUAUCUUUCUAGCUAGCUAACACUUUGCAUUGUGUUUUGUCCAUAAUAUUGUAUUUAGCUAUUGCUGUUGGCUACGAAAAGUUAUGCACUCGUAUGUUGCUCUGGAUAAGAGUAUCUGCUAAAUUACUCAAAUGUAAAAUGGCUAGCUUGCUUUGUUUACUACCACAUCAGCGUACACACGUUUGCAUUGCACCCCUUUACCAAAUGUGGUAUAACCUGUUUGUUUGUGAAACUCACCUUUUUAUACCGCCUCUGGUUCUACUGGCCCACUUCUAGCCCACCAUGUCUGAACCGAGUUCUGGCUGUGGCAUUCCAGUCCAGAGAAGCUCACAGUCUGGUCCAGAGACUGUGUCAGUGAAGCUGGAGGACUCAGUGAAGCUGGAAAACUGCAGUCAAACACUGGAACUCAAUGUGAUUGUCAAAAAGGAGGAGAAGGGAGAUGUUAAAGAAGAAAAGAGUGAAAUCAAAGAAGAUAAGGAAGAGGAGGAGAAGAGAGAGGUCCAAGUAGAAGAGGAGGGAAAUGCUGAUAUGUCUCCUCCAGGAGAGAGCUCCAGCUCAGGCUCACUCAGCGAGCCCAGUACCACAGUAUCAGGAAACCACCGACAACAUAGAGGGAGGAACUCAAGACAGAAACAUCACCACUGCAUGGACUGCUUCACUAGUUUCUAUGAGCCAGAGGAGUUGAGAAAACACACUUGUAAAGACCGCAGCCACGGUGCAACAUGUCCUCCCAAACGGAAAAAGACUUCCAGCUCCUUCUCACCAAUCCUCCCACCAGUCCUCCCACAAUUUUCUUUCAUCAUCGUGUCAGCUAACGGGGAUCCUAGUAAACAUAAAGAUAUAUGUGAUGAGAGCUUGAACCAGGCCAGAAAACCAACAUCAAUCAGUAACCAUGUGGAUUUUCUCCUUACUAACCGUUACACUUUGUCGCAGGAGGAGAAACUCCAGAUAAAAGGUCUCGGUCCCCACCAGCCAGCUGAUGUAGAAAUAACACUUCCCCAACACAGAACAAAGGGAAAGGACCCGACCCGUUCAUUCAACCCCUCGUGGUUCCAUAAGAAAUCGUGGCUGACGGCUAGCGUCUCUAAAAAAGCGCUUUACUGCUUCCCGUGCCUUUUAUUCGGCAAAGAGGGCACUUGGUCAACGGUGGGUUUCAAGGACCUGAAGCACCUCUCCGAAAGGAUUUCGAAACAUGAGAGUUGUUGUACUCAUCUGGAAAACGGCAUGAAACUGGGAUUUCUAGGGAAGACUAACGCCGCUGGUCAGCUGGUCAGCGUAAACCCAAGCUCCAUUGAGAUACACAACAGACAAACAGAGGAGAACAGGUACGUGCUGGGUAGAAUGGUCAAAUGCUUCGUGCUGUGUGGGAGACACAUGGCUGCCACGUGGCGGCGCGGCCGGGUCGCGUCGGACUCUCUAAACACAUCCAUGUUUAAGUGCAUCUUUGAGACGAUGUGCGAGGGAGACUCGAGACUUCAGAGGCAUUACGACGCUCACGGCUUCUUUAAGCACCCAAGAGGCUAUGUACAAAACAAACUGUUUGACUGUAUGCACGAGGUGUACAAAGAGGCGAUUACCAAGGAGGUGUGGGCGGCUAGCUUUGUAGCGGUGCAGGUGGACGGCAUGCCGUGGACAGGGGAGGUCUCCUCCAGGGUGACAUUACCCCUAGCUACAGAUCUAGGAUCAGCGUCUCCAAUCCCAACCUUGACCAUUAGUGUGGAAAAUGCCAUACUGGCCCAAGAUCAGCUUCUUGGGCUAACAAUCUACUCCUGUAUGCCACAGCAGGUCUCUGUCGUGCUACGGUACAUGCUUCCAGACAAUACUAUCACAGAGAGGUUUUGGGAGUUUGUGGACCUAAAGGAUAAAACGGCCGCCGGUCUCACCAACGCAGUCAAGGACUCGCUGGAACCACUGAAACUGGAGCACAAGCUGAUCGCUCAGACGUACGACGGGGUCACGGCGGCAGCAGCAGUGGACGGGGCCGACGUACGCGACCUGGAAACUCACCUGAAACGCACCUAUCCCAACGCUAACUUUGUGCACUGUUACGCUCACCCGCUACGUGUCACACUCCAGCAGAUCUGCUCGGCGACAGCGACCCAACUCAAAGUGUUUUUUACGGAUUUGUCUUUGUUCGAGACCUUCUUCAAAGAUCAGCCGAAGAGAGCUACAGCUGCAGGGUGGAACUGUGAGCGAGAAACGGUCAGUGUGGUUUGGGAAAAUCGCGUUGCUCUUCAGAAGUGUGUGGAGGAUAUUAGGACACAGCCGGUGUGGGACCAGGACUCUAUCAGAGAGGCUUAUGGCCUGUCAGCCAAACUCGGGGACCCCACGUUCCUACAACUGCUGGAAUUAUUCUAUUUGGUCAUGCAAGAGGUGGAUGUUCUCACUGUCAAUAUACUCAAAAGGGACAUUGUCGUGGCGGACAUCGAACAGGCAGUUGAUAGUUUUGAGAAGUACGUUCAGGCCCAACAGGGGAGAGCUGAGGCCACAGCACACGGAGGCCCCGCGUCGGACAACGACAAGAGAGACACAAAGAGAACUGCAGCGGUCAUGAGGAAGGCAUGUGACAUCAUCGUCACACAUGUGCAUCACAGGUUUUCUCAAAGUAGUGACCAUUUAAUCGCAGCCAAACUGGUGAAUCCCACACUCUUCUCUAAGUUCGUAGGCUGUUUCCCGUGCUCAGCCCUACAGUGUGCUGCCAAGCUAUGGCCGGUGGUUAACACUGGGAAGCUGAAAGAUGAAUUGACCUCUCUGUACCAACACACGGAGCUCCACAGGGGUACAACAGCGCUGUCUUUACUGAAAACAAUCAGCGAACUCAACCUCCAGGAUGUUUUGUCAGAGACGGUCUCUCUUCUCAAAAUCAUCAUCACCACUCCCAUGCAGACCGCCGAGUCUGAUAGAAGGUUCCCCACUCUGAAAAGAAUCCAGGCGUUGCCGUGUUCUCGGAACACCUCGGGAUCCGCGGUCGCUUGGCAACAGAACAAUGGCAUGCUAAAUGCACUGUCCAUGCUCUCUGUCGAGAAGGACUUCAUUCAAGGACUCAGGUCAGACUUUCACGACAAGGUCGUCGAUAAGUUUGUCCAAAAUAAAACCUGCCCUGGAGCCUUCCUGUUUAAAUGAGCAGUACAGCAUCUGAGAAAAAUCUGAGAAGGCUUGGGUUGUGUCUGUAUAUAGUAUAUACUGGGGGCUGAGUCUAUAUAUAUAUAUAUAUAUAUAUAUAUAUAUAUAUAUAUAUAUAUAUAUAUAUAUACUGGGGCUGAGUGUCCCAAAUGGCGCACAAUUCCCUCUGUAGUGCACUACAUUUGACUAUGGGCUAUUCUAUUGAAUACAAAAUAAGUCCAUAGACUUCAGUAGAAUUCAGUUGUAAAUAUUUUCUUUAUACAUAAUUCAAAUCAGUAGAAGGGCUGGUUUGUAUUGACAUUCUAGGUCUUCACAGGUCCAGAUAUCAGCCAAGUUGCUCUUCUGGUUAAUUAAUAGGUCUUUAUGUUGGCUAGGCCUUCUAUAAGUCAAUCAUUUCACCUGAUUAGCAUAAAAUAAAUAUGCUAUAGACUAUGCAGAGCCCUGGUCGGGUCCAUUCGGGUCUAUCAGCUGUGGUUACGUAGACCCAAGAUCCGAUGACAAUCAAGCAGGACCCACCCUGAACCGAGGGACAGGUUAGAAUUUCAGACCAGAACGGCCCGGGUCUCGGGUAUGUUCGGGUAUAUUGGGUCCACCCGGACCUUGAAGACCUCUAAUUGACAUCCAAAGUUAACAAUAUGUGUGUGUUGUAAUGCCAUGAUCCGCUUGUAAACUGUGUAAAAUGUUGUCAACUAUCCUUCAACUGAAUUAUAAAUACAAACAGUUCCAACUGUCUGUGUGGCUCCUCUUCUUCAUUCAAAGUGUAUUAUGUUGGUAGAUUGUCUUUAUCGGAUGACAAGUCAGUAUAGUAGCAUUAUGAUAAUAAAGGAUAACAGAUGUUAUACACUGUUGAAAUAAUAUAACAUCACACUGCUGAU